AUUGAACGCUGGCGGCAGGCCUAACACAUGCAAGUCGAACGGUAACAGGAAACAGCUUGCUGUUUCGCUGACGAGUGGCGGACGGGUGAGUAAUGUCUGGGAAACUGCCUGAUGGAGGGGGAUAACUACUGGAAACGGUAGCUAAUACCGCAUAACGUCGCAAGACCAAAGAGGGGGACCCUCGGGCCUCUUGCCAUCGGAUGUGCCCAGAUGGGAUUAGCUUGUUGGUGGGGUAACGGCUCACCAAGGCGACGAUCCCUAGCUGGUCUGAGAGGAUGGCCAGCCACACUGGAACUGAGACACGGUCCAGACUCCUACGGGAGGCAGCAGUGGGGAAUAUUGCACAAUGGGCGCAAGCCUGAUGCAGCCAUGCCGCGUGUAUGAAGAAGGCCUUCGGGUUGUAAAGAACUUUCAGCGGGGAGGAAGGGAGUAAAGUUAAUACCUUUGCUCAUUGACGUUACCCGCAGAAGAAGCACCGGCUAACUCCGUG
This 490-nucleotide ribosomal RNA is filed under the name uncultured bacterium. Its description in RNAcentral is "partial 16S ribosomal RNA". It matches the Rfam family "Bacterial small subunit ribosomal RNA", at positions 30 to 507 of the family's 1533-position model. The record is from RNAcentral.